Molecule: ribosomal RNA, 254 nt
Filed under: uncultured bacterium
Lineage: Bacteria
Description: partial 16S ribosomal RNA
Rfam family: Bacterial small subunit ribosomal RNA
Source: RNAcentral
GACAGAGAGGGCUAGUGUUAUUCGGAAUUAUUGGGCGUAAAGGGCACGUAGGCGGUGAAUUAAGUUGAAAAUGAAAUCCCAAAGCUUAACUUUGGAGCUGUUUUCAAUACUGAUUCUCUUGAGUUCGAUAGAGGAUAGUGGAAUUUCUAGUGUAGAAAUUAAAUUCAUAAAUAUUAGAAGGAACACCAGAGGCGAAGGCGACUAUCUGGAUCGAUACUGACGCUGAUGGUGCGAAAGCAUGGGUAGCAAACAGG